GACGAACGCUGGCGGCGUGCCUAAUACAUGCAAGUCGAGCGAACAGAUGAGGAGCUUGCUCCUCUGAUGUUAGCGGCGGAUGGGUGAGUAACACGUGGGCAACCUGCCCUGCAGUUGGGGAUAACUCCGGGAAACCGGGGCUAAUACCGAAUAAUCAGUUCCUUCGCAUGAAGGAACUCUGAAAGACGGCUUCGGCUGUCUCUGCAGGAUGGGCCCGCGGCGCAUUAGCUAGUUGGUGAGGUAACGGCUUACCAAGGCGACGAUGCGUAGCCGACCUGAGAGGGUGAUCGGCCACACUGGGACUGAGACACGGCCCAGACUCCUACGGGAGGCAGCAGUAGGGAAUCUUCCACAAUGGACGGAAGUCUGAUGGAGCAACGCCGCGUGAGCGAAGAAGGUUUUCGGAUCGUAAAGCUCUGUUGUGAGGGAAGAACAAGUAUAGGAGUAACUGCCUGUACCUUGACGGUACCUCAUUAGAAAGCCACGGCUAACUACGUGCCAGCAGCCGCAGUAACAC
Molecule: ribosomal RNA, 517 nt
Filed under: uncultured bacterium
Lineage: Bacteria
Description: bacterial SSU rRNA
Rfam family: Bacterial small subunit ribosomal RNA
Source: RNAcentral